RNAcentral lists this long non-coding RNA (1545 nucleotides) under Oncorhynchus mykiss (rainbow trout). RNAcentral describes it as "lncRNA (ENSOMYG00000021858.2)". Lineage: Eukaryota; Metazoa; Chordata; Actinopteri; Salmoniformes; Salmonidae. The record is from RNAcentral.
AUGCUUAACACCCCAGCCAUCCUACAAUCUAAACUUGAUGCCCUCAAUCUCACACAAAUUAUCAAUGAACCUACCAGGUACCUCCCCAAAGCCUUAAACACGGGCACCCUCAUAGAUAUCAUCCUAACCAACUUCCCCUCUAAAUACACCUCUGCUGUCUUCAACCAAGAUCUCAGCGAUCACUGCCUCAUUGCCUGCAUCCGUAAUGGGUCAGCGGUCAAACGACCUCCUCUAAUCACUGUAAAACGCUCCCUGAAACACUUCAGCGAGCAGGCCUUUCUAAUCGACCUGGCCGGGGUAUCCUGGAAGGAUAUUGACCUCAUCCCGUCAGUAGAGGAUGCCUGGAUAUUUUUAAAAAAUGCCUUCCUAACCAUCUUAAAUAAACAUGCCCCAUUCAAGAAAUUUAGAACCAGGAACAGAUAUUGCCCUUGGUUCUCCCCAGACCUGACUGCCCUUAACCAACACAAAAACAUCCUAUGGCGUUCUGCAUUAGCAUCGAACAGCCCCUGUGAUAUGCAGCUGUUCAGGGAAGCUAGAAACCAUUAUACACAGGCAGUUAGAAAAGCCAAGGCUAGCUUUUUCAAGCAGAAAUUUGCUUCUUGCAACACUAACUCAAAAAAGUUCUGGGACACUGUAAAGUCCAUGGAGAAUGAGAACACCUCCUCCCAGCUGCCCACUGCACUGAAGAUAGGAAACACUGUCACCACUGAUAAAUCCACCAUAAUUGAACAUUUCAAUAAGCAUUUUUCUACUGCUGGCCAUGCUUUCCACCUGACUACUCCUACCCCUGUAAACAGCACUGCAACCCCAACAGCAACUCGCCCAAGCCUUCCCCAUUUCUCCUUCUCCCAAAUCCAUUCAGCUGAUGUUCUGAAAGAGCUGCAAAAUCUGGACCCCUACAAAUCAGCCGGGCUAGACAAUCUGGACCCUUUCUUUCUAAAAUUAUCUGCCGAAAUUGUUGCCACCCCUAUUACUAGCCUGUUCAACCUCUCUUUCGUGUCGUCUGAGAUUCCCAAAGAUUGGAAAGCAGCUGCGGUCAUCCCCCUCUUCAAUGGGGGGGACACUCUUGACCCAAACUGCUACAGACCUAUAUCUAUCCUACCAUGCCUUUCUAAGGUCUUCGAAAGCCAAGUCAACAAACAGAUUACCGACCAUUUCGAAUCUCACCAUACCUUCUCUGCUAUGCAAUCUGGUUUCAGAGCUGGUCAUGGGUGCACCUCAGCCACGCUCAAGGUCCUAAACGAUAUCUUAACCGCCAUCGAUAAGAAACAUUACUGUGCAUCCGUAUUCAUUGAUCUGGCCAAGGCUUUCGACUCUGUCAAUCACCACAUCCUCAUCGGCAGACUCAACAGCCUUGGUUUCUCAAAUGAUUGCCUCGCCUGGUUCACCAACUACUUCUCUGAUAGAGUUCAGUGUGUCAAAUCUGAGGGUCUGUUGUCCGGACCUCUGGCAGUCUUUAUGGGGGUGCCACAGGGUUCAAUUCUUGGACGACUCUCUUCUCUGUAUACAUCAAUGAGGUCGCUCUUGCUGCUGGUGAGUCUCUGA